AGGACGAACGCUGGCGGCGUGCUUAACACAUGCAAGUCGAGCGGAAAGGCCCUUCGGGGCACUCGAGCGGCGAACGGGUGAGUAACACGUGAGCAACCUGCCCUUAGCUCCGGGAUAGCUCCGGGAAACCGGAAUUAAUACCGGAUACGACCACGGCCGACAUCUGCUGUGGUGGAAAGGAUUCCGGCUAAGGAUGGGCUCGCGGCCUAUCAGCUAGUUGGUGGAGUAACGGCCCACCAAGGCGACGACGGGUA
Molecule: ribosomal RNA, 254 nt
Filed under: uncultured bacterium
Lineage: Bacteria
Description: partial small subunit ribosomal RNA
Rfam family: Bacterial small subunit ribosomal RNA
Source: RNAcentral